AACACAUGCAAGUCGAGGGGCAGCAUAAAAGUAGACAAUACUUGGUGGCCGACCGGCGCGACGGGUAGAGUAACGCGUAUGCAACCUACCUAUCAGAGGGGAAUAACCCGGCGAAAGUCGGACUAAUACCGCAUAAAACAGGGGCACCGCAUGGUGAUAUUUGUUAAAGAAAUUCGCUGAUAGAUGGGCAUGCGUUCCAUUAGGUAGUUGGUGAGGUAACGGCUCACCAAGCCGACGAUGGAUAGGGGAACUGAGAGGUUGGUCCCCCACACUGGUACUGAGACACGGACCAGACUCCUACGGGAGGCAGCAGUGAGGAAUAUUGGUCAAUGGGCGGGAGCCUGAACCAGCCAAGUCGCGUGGAAAAGGAAGAAGGAUCUAUGGUUCGUAAACUUCUUUUGCAGGGGAAUAAAGUGCAGGACGUGUCCUGUUUUGUAUGUACCCUGAGAAUAAGGAUCGGCUAACUCCGUGCCAGCCGCAGC
RNAcentral lists this ribosomal RNA (482 nucleotides) under uncultured bacterium. Its description in RNAcentral is "bacterial SSU rRNA". It matches the Rfam family "Bacterial small subunit ribosomal RNA", at positions 50 to 518 of the family's 1533-position model. The record is from RNAcentral.